This 257-nucleotide ribosomal RNA is filed under the name uncultured Scutellospora. RNAcentral describes it as "partial 18S ribosomal RNA". It matches the Rfam family "Eukaryotic small subunit ribosomal RNA", at positions 624 to 886 of the family's 1831-position model. Lineage: Eukaryota; Fungi; Glomeromycota; Glomeromycetes; Diversisporales; Gigasporaceae. The record is from RNAcentral.
AAGCUCGUAGUUGAAUUUCGGGGUUCUACCGUUGGUCGGGCUAACCAGUCUGUACUAGCGUGUAGAAUUCCUACCUUCUGGGGAACCAUCAUGUUAUUAAUUUAGCGUGGUGGGAAACCAGGACCUUUACCUUGAAAAAAUUAGAGUGUUCAAAGCAGGCUUACGUCUGAAUACAUUAGCAUGGAAUAAUAAAAUAGGACGGUGGUCCUGUCUUGUUGGUUUCUGAAUCACCGUAAUGAUUAAUAGGGAUAGUUGGG